AGCCUUGUAGCUCAACUGGUAGAGCGUGCGCGUACAAAGUAUGGGUGGCGACCAUGCAUGGGUUCGAAUCCCACCGAGGAUA
This 82-nucleotide transfer RNA is filed under the name Echinostoma caproni. It matches the Rfam family "tRNA". Rfam says of the family: Transfer RNA (tRNA) molecules are approximately 80 nucleotides in length. Their secondary structure includes four short double-helical elements and three loops (D, anti-codon, and T loops). The record is from Rfam by way of RNAcentral. Lineage: Eukaryota; Metazoa; Platyhelminthes; Trematoda; Plagiorchiida; Echinostomatidae.